CCUACGGGAGGCAGCAGUGGGGAAUAUUGCUCAAUGGGCGAAAGCCUGACGCAGCGACGCCGCGUGCGGGAUGAAGGUCUUCGGAUCGUUAACCUCUGUCAGCAGGGAAGAACGGUCACUGUGCUAAUCAGCAGUGAAUUGACGGUACCUGCAAAGGAAGCAACGGCUAACUCCGUGCCAGCAGCCGCGGUAAUACGGAGGGUGCGAGCGUUAAUCGGAAGUACUGGGCGGAAAGCGGUCGUAGGCGGUAUGUCAAGUCAAUGGGGAAAUCCCCGGGCUCAACGUUGGAACUGCCGUUGAAACUGGCAAACUGGAGUGUGUGAGAGGAUAGUGGAAUUCGAGGUGUAGGAGUGAAAUCCGUAGAUAUCUGGAGGAACAUCAGUGGCGAAGGCGACUAUCUGGCACAUAACUGACGCUGAGGAGCGAAAGCGUGGGUAGCGAACAGGAUUAGAUACCCCUGUAGUC
This 465-nucleotide ribosomal RNA is filed under the name uncultured bacterium. RNAcentral's name for it is "partial 16S ribosomal RNA". It matches the Rfam family "Bacterial small subunit ribosomal RNA", at positions 338 to 795 of the family's 1533-position model. The record is from RNAcentral.